GACGAACGCUGGCGGCGUGCUUAACACAUGCAAGUCGAACGGAAAGGCCCUGCUUUUGUGGGGUGCUCGAGUGGCGAACGGGUGAGUAACACGUGAGUAACCUGCCCUUGACUUUGGGAUAACUUCAGGAAACUGGGGCUAAUACCGGAUAGGAGCUCCUGCUGCAUGGUGGGGGUUGGAAAGUUUCGGCGGUUGGGGAUGGACUCGCGGCUUAUCAGCUUGUUGGUGGGGUAGUGGCUUACCAAGGCUUUGACGGGUAGCCGGCCUGAGAGGGUGACCGGCCACAUGGGAACUGAGAUACGGCCCAGACUCCUACGGGAGGCAGCAGUGGGGAAUAUGGCACAAAGGGCGGAAGCCUGAUGCAGCAACGCCGCGUGCGGGAUGACGGCCUUCGGGUUGUAAACCGCUUUCGCCUGUGACGAAGCGUGAGUGACGGUAAUGGGUAAAGAAGCACCGGCUAACUACGU
This 467-nucleotide ribosomal RNA is filed under the name uncultured bacterium. RNAcentral's name for it is "partial 16S ribosomal RNA". It matches the Rfam family "Bacterial small subunit ribosomal RNA", at positions 28 to 506 of the family's 1533-position model. The record is from RNAcentral.